AAUAUUGACUNNNNNNNNNNNNNNNNNNNNAAUUAUUGGGCGUAAAGAGCUCGUAGGCGGCUUGUCGCGUCUGCUGUGAAAACCCGAGGCUCAACCUCGGGCCUGCAGUGGGUACGGGCAAGCUAGAGUGCGGUAGGGGAGAUUGGAAUUCCUGGUGUAGCGGUGGAAUGCGCAGAUAUCAGGAGGAACACCGAUGGCGAAGGCAGAUCUCUGGGCCGUAACUGACGCUGAGGAGCGAAAGCAUGGGGAGCGAACAGGAUUAGAUACCCUGGUAGUCCAUGCCGUAAACGUUGGGAACUAGAUGUAGGGACUGUUCCACGGUUUCUGUGUCGUAGCUAACGCAUUAAGUUCCCCGCCUGGGGAGUACGGCCGCAAGGCUAAAACUCAAAGGAAUUGACGGGGGCCCGCACAAGCGGCGGAGCAUGCGGAUUAAUUCGAUGCAACGCGAAGAACCUUACCAAGGCUUGACAUAGCCGAGAACGCUGUAGAGAUACAGAACUCUUUGGACACUCGGUUACAGGUGGUGCAUGGUUGUCGUCAGCUCGUGUCGUGAGAUGUUCGGUUAAGUCCGGCAACGAGCGCAACCCUCGUCCUAUGUUGCCAGCACGUUAUGGUGGGAACUCAUGGGAUACUGCCGUGGUCAACACGGAGGAAGGUGGGGAUGACGUCAAAUCAUCAUGCCCCUUAUGUCUUGGGCUUCACGCAUGCUACAAUGGCCGAUACAAAGGGCUGCGAUACCGCGAGGUGGAGCGAAUCCCAAAAAGUCGGUCUCAGUUCGGAUUGGGGUCUGCAACUCGACCCCAUGAAGUCGGAGUCGCUAGUAAUCGCAGAUCAGCAACGCUGCGGUGAAUACGUUCCCGGGCCUUGUACACACCGCCCGUCAAGUCAUGAAAGUCGGUAACACCCGAAGCCGGUGGCCUAACCUUUUUGGAGGGAGCCGUCGAAGGUGGGACUGGUGAUUAGGCUAAGUCGUACAAGGUAGCCGUACCGGAAGGUGCGGCUGGAUCACCUCCUUU
Non-coding RNA from Caenorhabditis tropicalis, 1016 nucleotides. The record is from Rfam. NCBI's taxonomy places the organism in Eukaryota, Metazoa, Nematoda, Chromadorea, Rhabditida, Rhabditidae.